This 301-nucleotide ribosomal RNA is filed under the name uncultured bacterium. RNAcentral describes it as "partial 16S ribosomal RNA". It matches the Rfam family "Bacterial small subunit ribosomal RNA", at positions 509 to 808 of the family's 1533-position model. The record is from RNAcentral.
CAGCAGCCACGGUAAUACGGAGGGGGCUAGCGUUGUUCGGAAUUACUGGGCGUAAAGCGCACGUAGGCGGCUUUGUAAGUUAGAGGUGAAAGCCCGGAGCUCAACUCCGGAAUUGCCUUUAAGACUGCAGAGCUAGCAGGUGAGAGAGAUGAGUGGAAUUCCGAGUGUAGAGGUGAAAUUCGUAGAUAUUCGGAAGAACACCAGUGGCGAAGGCGGCUCACUGGCUCAUACUGGACGCUGAGGUGCGAAAGCGUGGGGAGCAAACAGGAUUAGAUACCCCAGUAGUCCCUGUCUCUAUACA